This 62-nucleotide transfer RNA is filed under the name Nitrospiraceae bacterium. RNAcentral describes it as "tRNA-Gly". It matches the Rfam family "tRNA", at positions 1 to 61 of the family's 71-position model. From Rfam's summary of the family: Transfer RNA (tRNA) molecules are approximately 80 nucleotides in length. Their secondary structure includes four short double-helical elements and three loops (D, anti-codon, and T loops). The record is from RNAcentral. Lineage: Bacteria; Pseudomonadati; Nitrospirota; Nitrospiria; Nitrospirales; Nitrospiraceae.
GCGGGUGUAACUCAGUGGUAGAGUGUCAGCUUCCCAAGCUGGAGGUCGCGGGUUCGAAUCCC